CGGCCCGACGCGUGCCCCCGCGCUAGCCCCACCGCGCAGCGGGACAACCGAGGCUCUGCGAUGGGGACGACCGACAGGCGGGCCCCGGGCGCGUCGUGCCGAUAAGCUCGACCACCGCCGCGACAGCCUAGCGUCGUUGGACCGGAUCGGCGCGGGAGGGAGGAAAAGGCCUCUCGUCACGGGCUGCGGUCCUACCCCGCCGUCCCUGCUCGGUGGGUCCGGUUGAUGCGCGUGAGGUUAUUUCGGCGGGUGUGGGGGAGUGGACGGGCUGGGCGGCGGCGCGGGGUGUGGCGCUGACGAGGCCGCGGGGCCCGCGCGGCGGGGGCUGGGUUCACGUGGACGUGGUGUGCGUGUGACGCAGGG
This 363-nucleotide long non-coding RNA is filed under the name Hordeum vulgare. RNAcentral describes it as "long non-coding RNA (HVUL_LNC004970)". The record is from RNAcentral. Lineage: Eukaryota; Viridiplantae; Streptophyta; Magnoliopsida; Poales; Poaceae.